Molecule: small nucleolar RNA, 109 nt
Organism: Arachis stenosperma
Lineage: Eukaryota; Viridiplantae; Streptophyta; Magnoliopsida; Fabales; Fabaceae
Source: RefSeq, a predicted model, not a curated record
GAGCAUGUCAGGAGGGCAUCUCUUGAUCAAUUUCUUGUAUCUUUCCCAAGCUUCAUAGAGGGAUUCACCCUCUUUUUGUCUGAAAGUUUGAACUUUUCACCCUUAGCUU